UUUAUGGAGAGUUUGAUCCUGGCUCAGGAUGAACGCUGGCGGCGUGCCUAAUACAUGCAAGUCGAGCGAACGGACGAGAAGCUUGCUUCUCUGAUGUUAGCGGCGGACGGGUGAGUAACACGUGGAUAACCUACCUAUAAGACUGGGAUAACUUCGGGAAACCGGAGCUAAUACCGGAUAAUAUUUUGAACCGCAUGGUUCAAAAGUGAAAGACGGUCUUGCUGUCACUUAUAGAUGGAUCCGCGCUGCAUUAGCUAGUUGGUAAGGUAACGGCUUACCAAGGCAACGAUGCAUAGCCGACCUGAGAGGGUGAUCGGCCACACUGGAACUGAGACACGGUCCAGACUCCUACGGGAGGCAGCAGUAGGGAAUCUUCCGCAAUGGGCGAAAGCCUGACGGAGCAACGCCGCGUGAGUGAUGAAGGUCUUCGGAUCGUAAAACUCUGUUAUUAGGGAAGAACAUAUGUGUAAGUAACUGUGCACAUCUUGACGGUACCUAAUCAGAAAGCCACGGCUAACUACGUGCCAGCAGCCGCGGUAAUACGUAGGUGGCAAGCGUUAUCCGGAAUUAUUGGGCGUAAAGCGCGCGUAGGCGGUUUUUUAAGUCUGAUGUGAAAGCCCACGGCUCAACCGUGGAGGGUCAUUGGAAACUGGAAAACUUGAGUGCAGAAGAGGAAAGUGGAAUUCCAUGUGUAGCGGUGAAAUGCGCAGAGAUAUGGAGGAACACCAGUGGCGAAGGCGACUUUCUGGUCUGUAACUGACGCUGAUGUGCGAAAGCGUGGGGAUCAAACAGGAUUAGAUACCCUGGUAGUCCACGCCGUAAACGAUGAGUGCUAAGUGUUAGGGGGUUUCCGCCCCUUAGUGCUGCAGCUAACGCAUUAAGCACUCCGCCUGGGGAGUACGACCGCAAGGUUGAAACUCAAAGGAAUUGACGGGGACCCGCACAAGCGGUGGAGCAUGUGGUUUAAUUCGAAGCAACGCGAAGAACCUUACCAAAUCUUGACAUCCUUUGACAACUCUAGAGAUAGAGCCUUCCCCUUCGGGGGACAAAGUGACAGGUGGUGCAUGGUUGUCGUCAGCUCGUGUCGUGAGAUGUUGGGUUAAGUCCCGCAACGAGCGCAACCCUUAAGCUUAGUUGCCAUCAUUAAGUUGGGCACUCUAAGUUGACUGC
This 1170-nucleotide ribosomal RNA is filed under the name Staphylococcus aureus. RNAcentral describes it as "bacterial SSU rRNA". It matches the Rfam family "Bacterial small subunit ribosomal RNA", at positions 1 to 1152 of the family's 1533-position model. Lineage: Bacteria; Bacillati; Bacillota; Bacilli; Caryophanales; Staphylococcaceae. The record is from RNAcentral.